RNAcentral lists this long non-coding RNA (741 nucleotides) under Setaria viridis. RNAcentral describes it as "long non-coding RNA (SVIR_LNC008998)". Lineage: Eukaryota; Viridiplantae; Streptophyta; Magnoliopsida; Poales; Poaceae. The record is from RNAcentral.
CGGUCUCAUCGUCUGCCAUUUCAAGUAUUGAUGGAAACAUACAUGGAAUCAUACAUGACAGUCAUAGAAAUCGUCUUACUACAAAUUUCUACAAAGUCCUACAAAGUCCGAAAUCAUACAUGUAUAUAAUGAAAUCAUAAAAUAACAUGAAUCCUACAAAGUCCGGAAUAUUUAUACAAAUUUCUACAAAUUUUUACGAAUUUCUACAAAUUUCUACGAAUUUCUAGCAAUAACCAUAUGCGGUGCCUAGGUUGUGACGGCGGCGGUUAGGGCGGCGGAGGCGAGGACGGUUCCCUGGAACCACGGGCGGUGCCUAGGUUGUGACGGCGGCGGUCAGGGUGGCGGUACGGCGGAGGCAGGGACGGUUCCCCGGAACCACGGGCGGUGCCUACUAGGUUGUGACGGCGGCGGUCACGGCGGCGGGAUGACGGAGGGGAAACAUAUACAAAAAUAUAACUUAAAAAAAAUCUAACUUAAAAAAAAUCUAACUUAAAAAAAAUCUAACUUAAAAAUCUAACUUAAAAAUCUAACUUAACAAUCUAACUAAAAAAUCUAACUUAAAAAUAUAACUUAAUUUUCUAACUUAACAAUCAUACUUAAAAAUCUAUCAUAAAAAUAUAACUUAAUUUUCUAACUUAAAAAAAAAGGCCCUCCCGGCGCUGCCAGCCGACGCGGCAGCGGACCUCUCGCGCGCGGUCGUCGAUGGUGGCCGGGGCGACGAGGUGGCCGGGUCGGCGGGAC